AUUGAACGCUGGCGGCAGGCCUAACACAUGCAAGUCGAACGGUAACAGGAAGAAGCUUGCUUCUUUGCUGACGAGUGGCGGACGGGUGAGUAAUGUCUGGGAAACUGCCUGAUGGAGGGGGAUAACUACUGGAAACGGUAGCUAAUACCGCAUAACGUCGCAAGACCAAAGAGGGGGACCUUCGGGCCUCUUGCCAUCGGAUGUGCCCAGAUGGGAUUAGCUAGUAGGUGGGGUAACGGCUCACCUAGGCGACGAUCCCUAGCUGGUCUGAGAGGAUGACCAGCCACACUGGAACUGAGACACGGUCCAGACUCCUACGGGAGGCAGCAGGGGGGAAUAUUGCACAAUGGGCGCAAGCCUGAUGCAGCCAUGCCGCGUGUAUGAAGAAGGCCUUCGGGUUGUAAGUACUUUCAGCGGGGAGGAAGGGAGUAAAGUUAAUACCUUUGCUCAUUGACGUUACCCGCAGAAGAAGCACCGGCUAACUCCGUG
RNAcentral lists this ribosomal RNA (489 nucleotides) under uncultured bacterium. RNAcentral's name for it is "partial 16S ribosomal RNA". It matches the Rfam family "Bacterial small subunit ribosomal RNA", at positions 30 to 507 of the family's 1533-position model. The record is from RNAcentral.